AGUUUCAUUGGAACAUGGCACCAACCAUUCUGUUGUUUAUGGUUUUGUAACUCUUGCUUCAACAUAUGGGCAAACAUCCAUGUUCAUAACAGUGUCUUCAGGACCCUCAAGCCUUAACACAUUAGUGUUUGGGAAGGAAUGAGUCAUUCUUCACUUUGUCACAACAAAUACAAAAGAGGAAAAGAGUUUUUCCACAAGAAAGCAACUGAAGCAUCCUGUCAAUGCCAUGUUGGUUUGCACCCCACUGCUUUCCAGAGGGUGAUGUGAGUAUCCUACCUGCUGUGCACUGUAGGUUUUGCAGAGUCCCUGAACUACAC
RNAcentral lists this long non-coding RNA (317 nucleotides) under Cricetulus griseus (Chinese hamster). RNAcentral describes it as "lncRNA (ENSCGRG00000026186.1)". Lineage: Eukaryota; Metazoa; Chordata; Mammalia; Rodentia; Cricetidae. The record is from RNAcentral.